RNAcentral lists this ribosomal RNA (433 nucleotides) under uncultured bacterium. Its description in RNAcentral is "partial 16S ribosomal RNA". It matches the Rfam family "Bacterial small subunit ribosomal RNA", at positions 29 to 507 of the family's 1533-position model. The record is from RNAcentral.
AACGAACGCUGGCGGCAGGCCUAACACAUGCAAGUCGAGCGGACCCUUCGGGGUUAGCGGCUGACGGGGGAGUAACGCGUGGGAAUAUGCCCUUCUCUACGGAAUAGUCCUUGGAAACUGGGGGUAAUACCGUAUACGCUCUUCGGGGGAAAGAUUUAUCGGGGUAGGUUUAGCACGCGUUGGUUUAGGUAGUUGGUGGGGUAAUGGCCUACCAAGCCGACGAUCCAUAGCUGGUUUGAGAGGAUGAUCAGCCACACUGGGACUGAGACACGGCCCAGACUACUACGGGAGGCAGCAGUGGGGAAUCUUAGACAAUGGGGGCAACCCUGAUCUAGCCAUGCCGCGUGAGUGAUGAAGGCGUUAGAGAUGUAAAGCUCUUUCAGCUGGGAAGAUAAUGACGGUACCAGCAGAAGAAGCCCCGGCUAACUUCGUG